This is a long non-coding RNA of Lethenteron reissneri (Far Eastern brook lamprey), 547 nucleotides long. RefSeq lists it as uncharacterized. NCBI's taxonomy places the organism in Eukaryota, Metazoa, Chordata, Hyperoartia, Petromyzontiformes, Petromyzontidae. The record is from RefSeq and is a predicted model, not a curated record.
ACGCCGGAUCAUCCCUCCGAGAGUGACGUCCGAACACUCUCUACUGCAAUUGCCGACAGACAAACGACGGAGCUCGUGCGGUCAACGCUUUCGACACUCGACGGAAAGUGUAAACGCGAGCUUCUCCUCUUGCUUUAAGUUGACCUUCAGCACCCGUAAGCGCCCCACGAGAAGCGCGCGAUGUGGAAUUUAAUCAACAACGCUGAGCCGACACCGCAGUCAAUCAGCGCUCGUCUCCGGGACACGACACUUGCAGCUGUCAGCUCGCCGUCCUACAUCAUCCACGCGCGCUCGUCAAUAAGUGGGGCGGGUUGCACCAGGCGCUUCGACCGUUGCCACCUUCGCCACCUUCGCCACUUGCGGGACACGCGCAAAUUGUCCCGAUGGACGACGCCACGCGUGCGAUGAUUGAUGGCGCGUCCAGAUGAUGGUGCGACUGCACGGCGCGCCGAGCUCUGCCUCGACACACACCCCCCCUCACUCCACUCCACUGCAUGCAGCAUUCAUCUUUUGUUUCGAGGUCUUUGUGAAUAAGAGACCGUUUCCC